GUCGAACGAACUCUGGUAUUGAUUGGUGCUUGCAUCAUGAUUUACAUUUGAGUGAGUGGCGAACUGGUGAGUAACACGUGGGAAACCUGCCCAGAAGCGGGGGAUAACACCUGGAAACAGAUGCUAAUACCGCAUAACAACUUGGACCGCAUGGUCCGAGUUUGAAAGAUGGCUUCGGCUAUCACUUUUGGAUGGUCCCGCGGCGUAUUAGCUAGAUGGUGAGGUAACGGCUCACCAUGGCAAUGAUACGUAGCCGACCUGAGAGGGUAAUCGGCCACAUUGGGACUGAGACACGGCCCAAACUCCUACGGGAGGCAGCAGUAGGGAAUCUUCCACAAUGGACGAAAGUCUGAUGGAGCAACGCCGCGUGAGUGAAGAAGGGUUUCGGCUCGUAAAACUCUGUUGUUAAAGAAGAACAUAUCUGAGAGUAACUGUUCAGGUAUUGACGGUAUUUAACCAGAAAGCCACGGCUAACUACGUGCCAGCAGCCGCGGUAAUACGUAGGUGGCAAGCGUUGUCCGGAUUUAUUGGGCGUAAAGCGAGCGCAGGCGGUUUUUUAAGUCUGAUGUGAAAGCCUUCGGCUCAACCGAAGAAGUGCAUCGGAAACUGGGAAACUUGAGUGCAGAAGAGGACAGUGGAACUCCAUGUGUAGCGGUGAAAUGCGUAGAUAUAUGGAAGAACACCAGUGGCGAAGGCGGCUGUCUGGUCUGUAACUGACGCUGAGGCUCGAAAGUAUGGGUAGCAAACAGGAUUAGAUACCCUGGUAGUCCAUACCGUAAACGAUGAAUGCUAAGUGUUGGAGGGUUUCCGCCCUUCAGUGCUGCAGCUAACGCAUUAAGCAUUCCGCCUGGGGAGUACGGCCGCAAGGCUGAAACUCAAAGGAAUUGACGGGGGCCCGCACAAGCGGUGGAGCAUGUGGUUUAAUUCGAAGCUACGCGAAGAACCUUACCAGGUCUUGACAUACUAUGCAAAUCUAAGAGAUUAGACGUUCCCUUCGGGGACAUGGAUACAGGUGGUGCAUGGUUGUCGUCAGCUCGUGUCGUGAGAUGUUGGGUUAAGUCCCGCAACGAGCGCAACCCUUAUUAUCAGUUGCCAGCAUUAAGUUGGGCACUCUGGUGAGACUGCCGGUGACAAACCGGAGGAAGGUGGGGAUGACGUCAAAUCAUCAUGCCCCUUAUGACCUGGGCUACACACGUGCUACAAUGGAUGGUACAACGAGUUGCGAACUCGCGAGAGUAAGCUAAUCUCUUAAAGCCAUUCUCAGUUCGGAUUGUAGGCUGCAACUCGCCUACAUGAAGUCGGAAUCGCUAGUAAUCGCGGAUCAGCAUGCCGCGGUGAAUACGUUCCCGGGCCUUGUACACACCGCCCGUCACACCAUGAGAGUUUGUAACACCCAAAGUCGGUGGGGUAACCU
This 1414-nucleotide ribosomal RNA is filed under the name Lactiplantibacillus plantarum. RNAcentral describes it as "bacterial SSU rRNA". It matches the Rfam family "Bacterial small subunit ribosomal RNA". Lineage: Bacteria; Bacillati; Bacillota; Bacilli; Lactobacillales; Lactobacillaceae. The record is from RNAcentral.